This 2930-nucleotide ribosomal RNA is filed under the name Escherichia coli. RNAcentral's name for it is "23S ribosomal RNA". It matches the Rfam family "Bacterial large subunit ribosomal RNA". Lineage: Bacteria; Pseudomonadati; Pseudomonadota; Gammaproteobacteria; Enterobacterales; Enterobacteriaceae. The record is from RNAcentral.
GGGUUGUGAGGUUAAGCGACUAAGCGUACACGGUGGAUGCCCUGGCAGUCAGAGGCGAUGAAGGACGUGCUAAUCUGCGAUAAGCGUCGGUAAGGUGAUAUGAACCGUUAUAACCGGCGAUUUCCGAAUGGGGAAACCCAGUGUGUUUCGACACACUAUCAUUAACUGAAUCCAUAGGUUAAUGAGGCGAACCGGGGGAACUGAAACAUCUAAGUACCCCGAGGAAAAGAAAUCAACCGAGAUUCCCCCAGUAGCGGCGAGCGAACGGGGAGCAGCCCAGAGCCUGAAUCAGUGUGUGUGUUAGUGGAAGCGUCUGGAAAGGCGCGCGAUACAGGGUGACAGCCCCGUACACAAAAAUGCACAUGCUGUGAGCUCGAUGAGUAGGGCGGGACACGUGGUAUCCUGUCUGAAUAUGGGGGGACCAUCCUCCAAGGCUAAAUACUCCUGACUGACCGAUAGUGAACCAGUACCGUGAGGGAAAGGCGAAAAGAACCCCGGCGAGGGGAGUGAAAAAGAACCUGAAACCGUGUACGUACAAGCAGUGGGAGCACGCUUAGGCGUGUGACUGCGUACCUUUUGUAUAAUGGGUCAGCGACUUAUAUUCUGUAGCAAGGUUAACCGAAUAGGGGAGCCGAAGGGAAACCGAGUCUUAACUGGGCGUUAAGUUGCAGGGUAUAGACCCGAAACCCGGUGAUCUAGCCAUGGGCAGGUUGAAGGUUGGGUAACACUAACUGGAGGACCGAACCGACUAAUGUUGAAAAAUUAGCGGAUGACUUGUGGCUGGGGGUGAAAGGCCAAUCAAACCGGGAGAUAGCUGGUUCUCCCCGAAAGCUAUUUAGGUAGCGCCUCGUGAAUUCAUCUCCGGGGGUAGAGCACUGUUUCGGCAAGGGGGUCAUCCCGACUUACCAACCCGAUGCAAACUGCGAAUACCGGAGAAUGUUAUCACGGGAGACACACGGCGGGUGCUAACGUCCGUCGUGAAGAGGGAAACAACCCAGACCGCCAGCUAAGGUCCCAAAGUCAUGGUUAAGUGGGAAACGAUGUGGGAAGGCCCAGACAGCCAGGAUGUUGGCUUAGAAGCAGCCAUCAUUUAAAGAAAGCGUAAUAGCUCACUGGUCGAGUCGGCCUGCGCGGAAGAUGUAACGGGGCUAAACCAUGCACCGAAGCUGCGGCAGCGACGCUGAUGCGUUGUUGGGUAGGGGAGCGUUCUGUAAGCCUGCGAAGGUGUGCUGUGAGGCAUGCUGGAGGUAUCAGAAGUGCGAAUGCUGACAUAAGUAACGAUAAAGCGGGUGAAAAGCCCGCUCGCCGGAAGACCAAGGGUUCCUGUCCAACGUUAAUCGGGGCAGGGUGAGUCGACUAAGGCGAGGCCGAAAGGCGUAGUCGAUGGGAAACAGGUUAAUAUUCCUGUACUUGGUGUUACUGCGAAGGGGGGACGGAGAAGGCUAUGUUGGCCGGGCGACGGUUGUCCCGGUUUAAGCGUGUAGGCUGGUUUUCCAGGCAAAUCCGGAAAAUCAAGGCUGAGGCGUGAUGACGAGGCACUACGGUGCUGAAGCAACAAAUGCCCUGCUUCCAGGAAAAGCCUCUAAGCAUCAGGUAACAUCAAAUCGUACCCCAAACCGACACAGGUGGUCAGGUAGAGAAUACCAAGGCGCUUGAGAGAACUCGGGUGAAGGAACUAGGCAAAAUGGUGCCGUAACUUCGGGAGAAGGCACGCUGAUAUGUAGGUGAAGUCCCUCGCGGAUGGAGCUGAAAUCAGUCGAAGAUACCAGCUGGCUGCAACUGUUUAUUAAAAACACAGCACUGUGCAAACACGAAAGUGGACGUAUACGGUGUGACGCCUGCCCGGUGCCGGAAGGUUAAUUGAUGGGGUUAGCCGCAAGGCGAAGCUCUUGAUCGAAGCCCCGGUAAACGGCGGCCGUAACUAUAACGGUCCUAAGGUAGCGAAAUUCCUUGUCGGGUAAGUUCCGACCUGCACGAAUGGCGUAAUGAUGGCCAGGCUGUCUCCACCCGAGACUCAGUGAAAUUGAACUCGCUGUGAAGAUGCAGUGUACCCGCGGCAAGACGGAAAGACCCCGUGAACCUUUACUAUAGCUUGACACUGAACAUUGAGCCUUGAUGUGUAGGAUAGGUGGGAGGCUUGGAAGUGUGGACGCCAGUCUGCAUGGAGCCGACCUUGAAAUACCACCCUUUAAUGUUUGAUGUUCUAACGUUGACCCGUAAUCCGGGUUGCGGACAGUGUCUGGUGGGUAGUUUGACUGGGGCGGUCUCCUCCUAAAGAGUAACGGAGGAGCACGAAGGUUGGCUAAUCCUGGUCGGACAUCAGGAGGUUAGUGCAAUGGCAUAAGCCAGCUUGACUGCGAGCGUGACGGCGCGAGCAGGUGCGAAAGCAGGUCAUAGUGAUCCGGUGGUUCUGAAUGGAAGGGCCAUCGCUCAACGGAUAAAAGGUACUCCGGGGAUAACAGGCUGAUACCGCCCAAGAGUUCAUAUCGACGGCGGUGUUUGGCACCUCGAUGUCGGCUCAUCACAUCCUGGGGCUGAAGUAGGUCCCAAGGGUAUGGCUGUUCGCCAUUUAAAGUGGUACGCGAGCUGGGUUUAGAACGUCGUGAGACAGUUCGGUCCCUAUCUGCCGUGGGCGCUGGAGAACUGAGGGGGGCUGCUCCUAGUACGAGAGGACCGGAGUGGACGCAUCACUGGUGUUCGGGUUGUCAUGCCAAUGGCACUGCCCGGUAGCUAAAUGCGGAAGAGAUAAGUGCUGAAAGCAUCUAAGCACGAAACUUGCCCCGAGAUGAGUUCUCCCUGACUCCUUGAGAGUCCUGAAGGAACGUUGAAGACGACGACGUUGAUAGGCCGGGUGUGUAAGCGCAGCGAUGCGUUGAGCUAACCGGUACUAAUGAACCGUGAGGCUUAACCUUACAACGCCGAAGGUGUUU